GACGAACGCUGGCGGCGUGCUUAACACAUGCAAGUCGAGCGGAAAGGCCCUUUGGGGUACUCGAGCGGCGAACGGGUGAGUAACACGUGAGUAACCUGCCCUAGGCUUUGGGAUAACCCUCGGAAACGGGGGCUAAUACCGGAUAGGACUUCCUGCCGCAUGGUGGGGGGUGGAAAGUUUUUCGGCUUGGGAUGGGCUCGCGGCCUAUCAGCUUGUUGGUGGGGUGAUGGCCUACCAAGGCGGUGACGGGUAGCCGGCCUGAGAGGGCGACCGGCCACACUGGGACUGAGACACGGCCCAGACUCCUACGGGAGGCAGCAGUGGGGAAUAUUGCACAAUGGGCGCAAGCCUGAUGCAGCGACGCCGCGUGAGGGAUGACGGCCUUCGGGUUGUAAACCUCUUUCGGCAGGGACGAAGCCUCUUUGGGGGUGACGGUACCUGUAGAAGAAGCGCCGGCCAACUACGUGCCAGCAGCCGCCGUAACAC
RNAcentral lists this ribosomal RNA (486 nucleotides) under uncultured bacterium. RNAcentral describes it as "bacterial SSU rRNA". It matches the Rfam family "Bacterial small subunit ribosomal RNA", at positions 28 to 526 of the family's 1533-position model. The record is from RNAcentral.